Dama dama (fallow deer) is the source of this 135-nucleotide small nucleolar RNA. RefSeq annotates it as small nucleolar RNA SNORA22. The record is from RefSeq and is a predicted model, not a curated record. The transcript has a single exon. Lineage: Eukaryota; Metazoa; Chordata; Mammalia; Artiodactyla; Cervidae.
CUGUUUAGUGAAUAAAAGAAAUACCGAGGUGUAGUUCCCUUGGCUUUGACCCUGUGCUAGAGUAAUGUCUGUUCUUUUCUCUGCAUUGAAAGGACUAUUUAUCCUUUUAAAUGUAUUCAGAAAGUCAGCACAUUA